This 331-nucleotide unclassified non-coding RNA is filed under the name soil metagenome. Its description in RNAcentral is "partial contains 5.8S ribosomal RNA, internal transcribed spacer 2, and large subunit ribosomal RNA". The stretch from base 1 to 120 matches the Rfam family "5.8S ribosomal RNA", at positions 35 to 154 of the family's 154-position model. The record is from RNAcentral.
GAUGAAGAACGUAGCGAAAUGCGAUAAGUAAUGUGAAUUGCAGAAUUCAGUGAAUCAUCGAAUCUUUGAACGCACAUUGCGCCCCCUGGUAUUCCGGGGGGCAUGCCUGUUCGAGCGUCAUUUCACCACUCAAGCCUCGCUUGGUAUUGGGCAACGCGGUCCGCCGCGUGCCUCAAAUCGACCGGCUGGGUCUUCUGUCCCCUAAGCGUUGUGGAAACUAUUCGCUAAAGGGUGUUCGGGAGGCUACGCCGUAAAACAACCCCAUUUCUAAGGUUGACCUCGGAUCAGGUAGGCAUACCCGCUGAACUUAAGCAUAUCAAUAAGCGGAGGA